Molecule: ribosomal RNA, 533 nt
Filed under: uncultured bacterium
Lineage: Bacteria
Description: bacterial SSU rRNA
Rfam family: Bacterial small subunit ribosomal RNA
Source: RNAcentral
GGGGAAUAUUGCACAAUGGGCGCAAGCCUGAUGCAGCGACGCCGCGUGGGGGAUGAAGGCCUUCGGGUUGUAAACUCCUUUCGCUAGGGACGAAGCUUUUUUGUGACGGUACCUAGAUAAGAAGCACCGGCUAACUACGUGCCAGCAGCCGCGGUAAUACGUAGGGUGCGAGCGUUGUCCGGAAUUACUGGGCGUAAAGGGCUCGUAGGUGGUUUGUCGCGUCGUCUGUGAAAUUCUGGGGCUUAACUCCGGGCGUGCAGGCGAUACGGGCAUAACUUGAGUGCUGUAGGGGUAACUGGAAUUCCUGGUGUAGCGGUGAAAUGCGCAGAUAUCAGGAGGAACACCGAUGGCGAAGGCAGGUUACUGGGCAGUUACUGACGCUGAGGAGCGAAAGCAUGGGUAGCGAACAGGAUUAGAUACCCUGGUAGUCCAUGCCGUAAACGGUGGGCGCUAGGUGUGAGGGUCUUUCUACGACUUUCGUGCCGUAGCUAACGCAUUAAGCGCCCCGCCUGGGGAGUACGGCCGCAAGGCUA